CAGCAGCCACGGUAAUACAGAGGGUGCGAGCGUUAAUCGGAUUUACUGGGCGUAAAGCGUGCGUAGGCGGCUUCUUAAGUCGGAUGUGAAAUCCCCGAGCUUAACUUGGGAAUUGCAUUCGAUACUGGUUAGCUAGAGUGUGGGAGAGGAUGGUAGAAUUCCAGGUGUAGCGGUGAAAUGCGUAGAGAUCUGGAGGAAUACCGAUGGCGAAGGCAGCCAUCUGGCCUAACACUGACGCUGAGGUACGAAAGCAUGGGGAGCAAACAGGAUUAGAUACCCCAGUAGUCCCUGUCUCUUAUAC
Molecule: ribosomal RNA, 301 nt
Filed under: uncultured bacterium
Lineage: Bacteria
Description: partial 16S ribosomal RNA
Rfam family: Bacterial small subunit ribosomal RNA
Source: RNAcentral